Molecule: ribosomal RNA, 254 nt
Filed under: uncultured bacterium
Lineage: Bacteria
Description: partial 16S ribosomal RNA
Rfam family: Bacterial small subunit ribosomal RNA
Source: RNAcentral
UACGUAGGUGGCAAGCGUUGUCCGGAUUUACUGGGCGUAAAGAGCGCGCAGGCGGUCGAUCAAGUCGCGUGUGUAAGCCCCCGGCUCAACUGGGGAGGGUCACGCGAUACUGAUCGACUCGAAGGCAGGAGAGGGUAGUGGAAUUCCCGGUGUAGUGGUGAAAUGCGUAGAUAUCGGGAGGAACACCAGUGGCGAAGGCGACUACCUGGCCUGUUUCUUGACGCUGAGGCGCGAAAGCUAGGGGAGCAAACGGG